RNAcentral lists this ribosomal RNA (492 nucleotides) under uncultured bacterium. Its description in RNAcentral is "bacterial SSU rRNA". It matches the Rfam family "Bacterial small subunit ribosomal RNA", at positions 30 to 509 of the family's 1533-position model. The record is from RNAcentral.
UGAACGCUAGCUACAGGCUUAACACAUGGCAAGUCGAGGGGCAGCAUGGUCUUAGCUUGCUAAGACCGAUGGCGACCGGCGCACGGGUGAGUAACGCGUAUCCAACCUGGGCCUUUAGUAGGGGAAUAGCCCGGCGAAAGUCGGAUUAAUGCCCUAUGUUGUCCUAUGCAGGCAUCUAAUUAGGACCAAAGAUUUAUCGCUAGAGGAUGGGGAUGCGUCUGAUUAGGUUGUAGGCGGGUAACGGCCCACCUAGCCGACGAUCAGUAGGGGUUCUGAGAGGAAGGUCCCCCACAUUGGUACUGAGACACGGACCAAACUCCUACGGGAGGCAGCAGUGAGGAAUAUUGGUCAAUGGGCGCGAGCCUGAACCAGCCAAGUAGCGUGCAGGAUGACUGCCCUAUGGGUUGUAAACUGCUUUUAUGCGGGAAUAAAGUUCAGUACGCGUGCUGUUUUGUAUGUACCGCAUGAAUAAGGACCGGCUAAUUCCGUGCC